Long non-coding RNA from Ictalurus punctatus (channel catfish), 1664 nucleotides. The record is from Ensembl. NCBI's taxonomy places the organism in Eukaryota, Metazoa, Chordata, Actinopteri, Siluriformes, Ictaluridae.
AUCAGAGCAUGCGGCAGGAGCAUUUAUCAGUUCCCGACAUUCCAGAAGGUCUUCCGUUGUUUUUGUGGAUUAAUCGGAUUUUAUUCUUCACCAUGCGCGCGAUCAUGAAGCUCCUCAUCUGCUGUGUGUUCAUGCUGUUCCUGGUGAACGUAGUUCCAGCUGCAGGUUCUACCACAGAACUCCUGUCAUGCUGCUUUCAGCAGCUUGGUAAUAGAUCAGUGGUGUACAUACUGAACAACACCGUGGAGUCCGAUUUCACACAGUGGACCAGAAACGUGAGCACAACCGAGCUGUAUCAUAUCACAUCACUGUAUCACAUCACUGUAUCACAUCACUGUAUCACAUCUGUUUCAUAUCACUGUAUCACAUCACUGUAUCACAUCACUGUAUCACAUCACUGUAUCACAUCUCUGUUUCAUAUCACUGUUUCACAUCACUGUUUCACAUCACUGUAUCACAUCACUGUAUCACAUCACUGUAUCACAUCUCUGUUUCAUAUCACUGUUUCACAUCACUGUUUCACAUCACUGUUUCACAUCACUGUAUCACAUCACUGUAUCACAUCACUGAUUCAUAUCACUGUAUCAUAUCAAUACUUUUUAUUAUACAUAAAGAAGAACUAACCCUGCCCCCUUCCCUUAAGUCCCACUGCUAAUGUUUAAAGGCUGAAUUAUAGCAAAAAACAGGAUGUGAUGUGGAUGAUAAUUAGAUAUUUUUAAAUGUGUAAAUAUGGAAUGUCACUGCUUUUAACACUAUUUCUAAUUCUCAAAGGAAAUUAUAAGCCUUAACUAUGUCAUGAGAAGUGAGUAUGUGAACGUUUUGUGCCUGUAAAUGCACAGGAAAGGCAUGUAACAGACACACAGUCACUGCUUGCUGCUGAUCUGAGAACUGCAUGACAAAAUGACAAGUGAAAAUAUCUUCAAUAUCAGUCAUAUUUAUCCCAUUUCCUCCUACAAGAUUAGAAUAAAUAAAGCAGAAGAUUAGUAAACAUUUUCUACUCAUUUCAAGCUUGAAAUAGAAUAGAAUUGAAAUGUUUUGUUGGCAGAUAUGUUGUUUCUAGUUUUAAGAAAUUUUAUAAAUGUAUUUAAUACAAUAAACAUUUAAUAGCUUUAAAUGUAUACAAGCCUCUUAAACAAGCUGAAUAAGAAAUAUUAAACAUAUUUGGCCAUAUUCAAGAUAUUUCCACUUGCUAAUAUAAAAAUUUUUUUGCAGUGAGUAUGGGUUUGUGUAACUGUGUGUAACUGUGUGUAACUGUGUGUGUGUGUGUGUGUGUGUGUGUGUGUGUGUGUAGAAGACACCCAUUAAGGAUGAACAUGGCAAUGUGGACAAGAGCAUUGUCAUAGGCUAUGGUCAGAACUGGAUCACUCUAAAUCAGAGUUACUUAGACAUUGUAUUCUACUUUCAGACAUAUGAUAUGAUGAAAAAUCAAGAAGUUCAAUGUACAGAUUUGUGUGAACCGGGAUCAGCUAACCUUCCGAUUGGAGAGAAGCAUGAGACAAAUCAGCGUGAUGGAGGUGACGGAGGUUUGUAUCACACGCAGAUAAACUUUGUUAUUUCUUGCAGCAGAUUGUUUUAGGAAUAGACAUAUGGUAUAUUUACAAAAAUGAUAUUUGUUGCCAGCGGUUUAGACAUUAAUGGCUGUGUGUUGAGUUAUUUUAAGGGGA